RNAcentral lists this ribosomal RNA (253 nucleotides) under uncultured bacterium. Its description in RNAcentral is "partial 16S ribosomal RNA". It matches the Rfam family "Bacterial small subunit ribosomal RNA", at positions 524 to 776 of the family's 1533-position model. The record is from RNAcentral.
UACGGAGGGUGCGAGCGUUGUCCGGAAUCACUGGGCGUAAAGAGCGCGCAGGCGGUCGUUCAAGUCGCGUGUGAAAGCCCCCGGCUCAACUGGGGAGGGUCACGCGAUACUGAUCGACUCGAAGGCAGGAGAGGGUAGUGGAAUUCCCGGUGUAGUGGUGAAAUGCGUAGAUAUCGGGAGGAACACCAGUGGCGAAAGCGGCUUCCUGGACCAGUACCGACGUUCAGGCACGAAAGCGUGGGGAGCAAACAGG